GGCGCGUCCUCGUGUCCCACUACCGUGUUACACCAGGUCCUUUCCUUUUUUAACAGCAUGUGAAACAGGAAACAUUUCUAAAAUUUUAUAUAACAUACUCAAAAUAUAAGUCAAACCCCAAAAUGAUCUGGCUGUGAAUUAAGAAUUUGCCACCUUGAGUUUUGGGUUACCUCUCUGGAUGAAGACACAUCUUCAGCUGAUGUAAAUGCCCACUCCUUUGGAGGCAACUGAGCUAUGAUGGUUUAUACCACAUGAGCCUUUCACCUGAAGCCUUGUCUGGAUUUAUGAAUGGCUUGUAUGUACCCUGUGUAAUGAUUACAUCAUACUCAGCUUUGUUUGCCCCUAUGCUGGCUGGCCACUGCAUCCUGCAGUUCAGUGUCUCUUCCUCCAUGUGGGAAACCUUAGAAUUACCCUGCGAAAGGAUUCACUAAAACUGAUGCAAUGCAACUGAUAAGGAACACUGUAGUGCCAUUAUAGAAGAACUUUGUUUUAUAUAUUUAAAUCAUAUUUUAAUUGACUGUCUGCUUUUAAGAAAAAUAUGUGUAAUUCUGGGGAGCAAGAAAGAUCAAAGAUAGUUCUAUUCUGCCAACGUUAGACCUAGAGGUCUAGGGUGGAAGGCACAGUGCAAAGAUAUUGGGUCAUCAAGCACAAGCAAGCUAGCUGGAGGCAAGGAUUUCCCUAGUGUUGAGCUGGACAGGAGCAGAUGGUCUUACUGACAGGGUAAGACUCCUCUUAAGCUCACAGAUCUUUGCACUGCAGUCUACAGCAUUGCGUAGCUAUGUCCAUUUUGCCAAAAAAAAAAAAGAAAAAUAGUUGAAAACAAACACAAAAAAACAGUAUUAUUAAUUAAUAAGCUAAUUCUGAAAUGUUCAGUUUGUAGCAUAUUGU
Long non-coding RNA from Rhea pennata, 888 nucleotides. RefSeq lists it as uncharacterized. The transcript is spliced from 3 exons. Lineage: Eukaryota; Metazoa; Chordata; Aves; Rheiformes; Rheidae. The record is from RefSeq and is a predicted model, not a curated record.